CCAUGUACUCACAUUUGAGCAACGGUGUA
RNAcentral lists this small RNA (29 nucleotides) under Bombyx mori (domestic silkworm). Its description in RNAcentral is "ovarian small RNA-13603". Lineage: Eukaryota; Metazoa; Arthropoda; Insecta; Lepidoptera; Bombycidae. The record is from RNAcentral.